Molecule: ribosomal RNA, 465 nt
Filed under: uncultured bacterium
Lineage: Bacteria
Description: partial 16S ribosomal RNA
Rfam family: Bacterial small subunit ribosomal RNA
Source: RNAcentral
CCUACGGGAGGCAGCAGUGGGGAAUAUUGCGCAAUGGGCGAAAGCCUGACGCAGCGACGCCGCGUGAGGGAUGAAGGUCUUCGGAUCGUAAACCUCUGUCAGCAGGGAAGAACGGUCACUGUGCUAAUCAGCAGUGAAUUGACGGUACCUGCAAAGGAAGCACCGGCUAACUCCGUGCCAGCAGCCGCGGUAAUACGGAGGGUGCGAGCGUUAAUCGGAAUUACUGGGCGUAAAGCGCUCGUAGGCGGUAUGUCAAGUCAAGGGUGAAAUCCCGGGGCUCAACGUGGGAACUGCCUUUGAAACUGGCAGACUGGAGUGUGUGAGAGGAGAGUGGAAUUCCAGGUGUAGGAGUGAAAUCCGUAGAUAUCUGGAGGAACAUCAGUGGCGAAGGCGACUAUCUGGCACAUAACUGACGCUGAGGAGCGAAAGCGUGGGUAGCAAACAGGAUUAGAUACCCUGGUAGUC